GUUGGGAGGCAACAUGUCAGAUGGUUGGUUGGUGGUGGCGCUGCGAUGAUGAGGUCGACACAUUCUCUCGAUACUCGCCCGGUUCGCCCGGUGGACCUUUGUGUAUGGUCCUUCUAGAAAGCUAUCCUCCAGCACACGACGCUCCGCAGCUGAUUUUCUAGCGGUAAAUAUGAAAUACGGCUGUCACUACCAACACACCUUACUCUGGAAGCGACAAACCCCGUGAUUGUUGGGACAUGAUAGACUAGCACUGCUAAGCAGAGGGGC
Molecule: small RNA, 267 nt
Filed under: Histoplasma capsulatum var. duboisii H88
Lineage: Eukaryota; Fungi; Ascomycota; Eurotiomycetes; Onygenales; Ajellomycetaceae
Description: Histoplasma capsulatum H88 hypothetical RNA
Source: RNAcentral